RNAcentral lists this ribosomal RNA (489 nucleotides) under uncultured Acidobacteriota bacterium. RNAcentral's name for it is "bacterial SSU rRNA". It matches the Rfam family "Bacterial small subunit ribosomal RNA", at positions 224 to 704 of the family's 1533-position model. Lineage: Bacteria; Pseudomonadati; Acidobacteriota. The record is from RNAcentral.
GAUGGGCCCGCGCCCGAUUAGCUAGUUGGUGAGGUAACGGCUCACCAAGGCUUCGAUCGGUAACCGGCCUGAGAGGGCGAUCGGUCACACCGGAACUGAGACACGGUCCGGACUCCUACGGGAGGCAGCAGUGGGGAAUCUUGCGCAAUGGGCGAAAGCCUGACGCAGCAACGCCGCGUGGAGGAUGAAGGCCCUUGGGUUGUAAACUCCUGUCGGCUGGGAAGAAAUCGUGCGGUGCUCAUACCACCGUGCGUUGACUGUACCAGCAAAGGAAGCCCCGGCUAACUCUGUGCCAGCAGCCGCGGUAAUACAGAGGGGGCCAGCGUUAUUCGGAAUUAUUGGGCGUAAAGGGCGCGUAGGCGGCCAUGCGUGUCUUCCGUGAAAUCCCUCGGCUUAACUGAGGACGUGCGGAAGAAACUGCAAGGCUCGAGUCCGGGAGAGGGGGGUGGAAUUCCCAGUGUAGCGGUGAAAUGCGUAGAUAUUGGGAGG